GACCAUAAGAUGAGCAGUCACCAUGUAUGUUCAGCCUAUCCUGUAUGUCUCCAGGUUCCAAUCUCCUGACCCUGCAGGCCAAAGAUAGCAGCAAGGAGAGGCAGCGCGGGAGGAAGUGCUUUCUUUUAUUCAUACAGGCUCUGUGUCCAAAUGGAGUCUUCUUCUAAAGGAGUUACAUUAGGACAGCUGCCCGCUGUCUGAUACACCAACCAGAUAUUGAACCCGAAAGAGGUGCAGAGAAAAAAAAGGAGAUGAGCAAGGUAGAGGCCAGUUGAUAUUCUGAAAGGACUGAAGGCACGGUCAAAUCAUUUCAUCACCCCUGGAAAAAAAAGAAAAGUGUCAUACCUGGUCUGCUGGCAGCAGGAGAUAAGUGACAAUACAGAGCCGGAGAUGGAAUCGGCGUCACUGGUCUGCCACAGGCCCACACUGGAGAUGUAAGAAGUGACGCUUUCAAGCCUUUGGCGAGGAUUGCCACAAAAGACAAAUAAAAAAUAUUGCCAGGUCAUACGACAAGUCCUCCUGUCAUCAUGUACUUGUUUGAUCCUAAAAUAUCCAGAGGGACAGCAGAGAGGUAAGCUUCAGCUCAAGUGGUGAAAUCAGCAAGAAAACAUGGCAAAAACGACAAAAGUAGUUUCUUCUGGGAACUUUCCAGUUUCCAAAGGAUCACGGAUCAAAG
Acanthopagrus latus (yellowfin seabream) is the source of this 676-nucleotide long non-coding RNA. RefSeq lists it as uncharacterized. Lineage: Eukaryota; Metazoa; Chordata; Actinopteri; Spariformes; Sparidae. The record is from RefSeq and is a predicted model, not a curated record. The transcript has 3 exons.